RNAcentral lists this small RNA (117 nucleotides) under unclassified sequences. RNAcentral describes it as "DUF3268 RNA". It matches the Rfam family "DUF3268 RNA". The record is from Rfam by way of RNAcentral.
AGCAUAGCUUGCGCUCAGGCUUUCGGUACGAAUGAAGGUACCCAUUCGUUAGACCUGUCCCGCGGACAGGGAAUCGUUACGGAUUUAGCGCACUGAGCGAUCCUCACGGCGCAAGCG